Molecule: non-coding RNA, 28 nt
Filed under: Mus musculus (house mouse)
Lineage: Eukaryota; Metazoa; Chordata; Mammalia; Rodentia; Muridae
Source: RNAcentral
UAAUUUGUCACAAAGGUAAGCACAAGGA